Molecule: ribosomal RNA, 439 nt
Filed under: uncultured bacterium
Lineage: Bacteria
Description: partial 16S ribosomal RNA
Rfam family: Bacterial small subunit ribosomal RNA
Source: RNAcentral
CCUACGGGAGCAGCAGUGGGGGAUAUUGCACAAUGGGGGGAACCCUGAUGCAGCGACGCCGCGUGGGUGAAGGAGCGUUUCGGCGCGUAAAGCCCUAUCGGCAGGGAAGAAGAUGACGGUACCUGACCAAGAAGCCCCGGCUAACUACGUGCCAGCAGCCGCGGUCAUACGUAGGGGGCAAGCGUUAUCCGGAUUUACUGGGUGUAAAGGGGGCGCAGACGGCAAUGCAAGCCAGGGGUGAAAGCCCGGGGCCCAACCCCGGGACUGCUGUUGGAACUGCGUGGCGGGAGUAGAGGAGGGGGAUGCGGAAUGCGUGGUGUAGCGGGGAAAUGGAGAGAUAUAGGGAGGAACACCGAUGGCGAGGGCGGCAUGCCGGCUCCAGACUGACGUUGAGGCACGAAGGCGUGGGUAGCGAACAGGAUUAGAUACCCGGGUAGUC